RNAcentral lists this long non-coding RNA (1789 nucleotides) under Homo sapiens (human). Its description in RNAcentral is "HSALNT0377472". Lineage: Eukaryota; Metazoa; Chordata; Mammalia; Primates; Hominidae. The record is from RNAcentral.
UCCCCCCAGCCUGGCUGCUGAGCCCUGUCUCCCCAGUGGUUCUUUUCUCUACGCAUCUCUGAAUGUGACUGCUUUAGGGUGAAUCUCCUCCUUCUUGUUCCACCCACCUGCCAAUUUGUGUUAUGCUCCUGAUGUUGACAGCUUGCCUGGACCACUUCCUUUCUCUAUAGCCUUGAACCCUGCAGACACUGGAUUCUGCCUCUUGGGCUGAACUUCUUCUUGAGGCCUCUCCAUUGGGUGGCUCUGUCUUUCCUAGGCUUCCUCAUCUUGAUGCAAGGAAGAAGGUACACACUUGGCCAUGCAUGGUCUGAGAUGUAACAAUUAGUUUUAGGAAGUGCCUACUUCUGUGAGCAAAUAAUCAAUUACCUGUCAUAGCAGCCACUCUUUCCUGAAACUGCCUUCCAACCAGGUGUGCAGUUUCUGAAAUUCUACCAAUGGCUUUACUUCCUCCAGGUGUCUUCUGGAGGAGUAAGGAACCGUGACCAGACAGACACAAAUACAUAUGGCCAUUAGUAAUAUCAUUACCAAGCUAACUACAGGAAUCCAGGGCAGUAUGCAGGCAUAAGAGGUCCAGGAAGAGCAGAACAGAAGACAGUUGUGUGGAGAGCAAGUGAAGAGAGGCACUGAAGACAAACUCUCCCAUCCUUCUGACUUUACCUGGUCCCAGUCCUGGGUGAGCAACUCACAUAACCUUAGGCUUUGAGAUGGUUUGGCCUAUCAUGGGCCCUGAGAGAAUAUUGGACAAAAAUGUUGUUCUUUAGAGUUUAUGGAGAAAGAAACAGAAACAGGAUUUGGUUAUUAUUUUGAAGUGGGCAGAAAAACUGAGGAGCAACCUAACUGCACCAUUCAAUAGAUUAUAAUGCAAACAAGGACCAGAAAUGGCUACUGUCAGAAGUGAGUGAGAAACAAAGCCUGGGGAAAGGAUGUAGGAUCACAGGAUGUCUGCCAGCUCCUCUCCAGCCACCCAUUCUCAUAGCGGGUGAGCCAGACCACAUCUGCUAAUCCAGGAGCACAGCUCAGGACUAGUCUAUGCGGAUGGAAUCUCUCUCCAGCCUUUUCUCUAUGUCAGUUUUAUCUACCUGGCAAGAAAAAACAAAAACAACCCCAAAACAACCCCUCCCCACAAACACAACACAAAACAAGGGACUCGAAAAGUUGGAGAAAACCUUUUAAUGUGUUUCUGUAAAAUCCUUUCUUAGGAGGUUUAGUACAGGUACUACCCAUCAGCAACUUAGCCGGCCAGGUGAGUUGGUGCAGAAGGGCUUCGGCUGAAUUUAUACCAGAGCCAUCGGGAGUGACUUGGCCACCUCUCCCAAUUACCACAAGGAAGUCUUAAAAUUGAAUUUCAGUUUCAGCAGAUACUUCAGAUUUACCUGAGCAAUAUCAUAGACAAUGUACUCAUUAUAUAGUAGACAAGUGUCAUUCACACCAGAUGAAAUCCCAGUCCCAAGAGGAACCUCUGCACCAUCCAGAGUAAUACUAGCUGAAGGGUCAGGGGUAGUUUUGCCCAAACCUUUGACACUGUGCUUGCCCUUGGGUAACUUGCUGAUAUGUGAAGCGUGCUUCAGUUCAUACAUUUUCCAAGGGCAACUUCUCCCAACAGGAUUAAGCCUGUUGGGCCUCCCUGAGAUGUAUGGCAGUAGUUGGCACUCUUGGAGGCCAUGUCAGCGAAAUAGAUCCCUUUACCAAACAUGUAGCCCGUCAUGGGCACUUCAGGCGGGGCUAUCCAAAGACCCUGGGACAGGAUCCCAGCAAAGCUGGUGGUUGUGGACCCGGGGCAUGGGCCUUU